CAAGAGUACGUGAAACUGCUUAGAGGUUAAACCCGAUGAACCUGAAUAUCCAUUAUGGAAAAUUCAAUGCUAAUAAUAUGAUAUAAAUAAUAUUAUAAAAAUAGUGUGCAAUUUUUCCAUAUAAGGACAUUGUAAUCUGUUAAUGUAAUAAAUAUUUAUCAAAAGAUUUUUAACUUAAGUUUAUUUAAAUUGUUUAUUUUCGGAUAUUCAACAUAAAAUAAAUGUUUUAAAUCAGAUAAAUCAUUGACAGAUAUAAUUAUAUAAAGUGCUUAAAUUUUUCGGAAUUUUACAAUGGUAGAUAGAUCUAUUGAUUUGUUUAUUUAAUUGUUUGCGCUUUUAUGAUUAACAAUGCGAUAGAUUCAGGAUACCUUCGGGACCCGUCUUGAAACACGGACCAAGGAGUCUAACAUAUGUGCAAGUCAUUGGGUAUUAAAAAACCUAAUGGCAUAAUUAACUUAACUGUUUUUUAUAUGGGAUUAAUUUAAAAUUUGUCAUGAAUUAUUUAUUCAAUCCCGGGGCGUUCUAUAUAGUUAUGUAUAAUGAUAUUUAUAUUAUUUAUACCUCUAACUAGAGCGUACCUUGAGCAUAUAUGCUGUGACCCGAA
This 604-nucleotide ribosomal RNA is filed under the name Citrogramma fascipleurum. Its description in RNAcentral is "eukaryotic LSU rRNA". It matches the Rfam family "Eukaryotic large subunit ribosomal RNA", at positions 390 to 820 of the family's 3401-position model. Lineage: Eukaryota; Metazoa; Arthropoda; Insecta; Diptera; Syrphidae. The record is from RNAcentral.